GCAAUUCUUUCUUUUUGUUAAUCAUUUAGUUUGUAACUAUCAUUCCCUGCUCACCAUUGCCAGUCCUCCCCUCUCCUCUGUCCGGCUGUUUCUAUUCCCAACUCAUGUUGACUGCCACUGCCUCCUCUUGGCUUCUAGUAUUUCAGAUAUGCUCAAUUCCUAAUUAAAGAAUAUUAUGUACAAGAAUGUGGAGGCCCUAAAGCAUGAAGCAAUUUAAUUUGUCAAAAAUUAAAACAUAGCAAAAUAAAAGUGCUUCUAAAUUGAUCUCAUCUUUUAAGAUUUUACACAGAUUUACAAUUUUUCAUUAUAGCCAAACAAGAAAAAAAUCUAAAUAAAAAAAUUCCCCAAGGUUCUGUGUUUUCGUAUCAAGAAUUAUUUGCAAAUGAAAAGAUUCAGGUUUUCGUUUAACUUUAUCCCUCGAAAGCAACUUCUCCGUGAGCAUUCACACUUAUUUACAAAAAAAAAUAAUUAGUGACAACUAAAGUGUAAAUUGAAUUUUUUUAACCAAGCAAUAAAUUGUACCUCAUUUUUCAGUUUCUCAUUCUCUUUGAAUUGGCUGUCAUAAUCUGCCUUUCUUUUAAAGAAUCACACUCUUUCUCCAAGUUCUUUGUUUUGUACCGGGCUCGACGGUUUUGGAACCAAAUUGCAACUUGCCUAGGUUACAGUCCAAGUUCUUUAGCAAGCUGGAGCUUUCUCUCUGGUUCGAGCUUAUUUUUCACCUCAAAACUUUUCUCAAGAAGUUAAACCUGAUCGAGCAUGAGUGGGGAUGUCAAACGGGUCGAGCGACUCGUCAUCUCGUCAAAACUCGGCUCGUGGGCGGAUCAAUCCCACGAGCUCGUCGAGCCCACGAGCCGUGUUGAUGAGCCCACAAGCUCGUCAAAAAAUAUGAAAAAAAAGGCCAAAAAUGUGCAAGUUUACAACAAAAAAAAAAAAUCAAAAAAAUUAAAAAUUAAAAAAAUAAAAAAAUCACAAGCUCUCAAGCGGCUCGUGAGCUCGGCUGGGCUCACGAGCUCGUGGGCCGAGCCCGAGCAACAAGCCGAGCUCAAGCUCAGCUCGUCUUUCACGAGCCACAAGCUCGGCUCAUUACGAGCCCAAGUCGAGCUCGUGAAUUAAAGGGUCAAGCCGACUCGACUGGGCCCAAUGCCAUCCCUAGGCGUGAGCCGCCUUUUCUUCUACGACUGUUGAAAGCAACCAUCUAAUCAUCAUUGCCAUUUGCUUUUUUAUCAAUCUGGAUUUUCGAAGUUUACCAUGGAUGUAGAUCCUAAAACAGAGAAACCAGACAAAAUGUUAUCAGAUUCUUCAACUAACAUUAAUUGCCCGGAUUCCCAUAUUAUCAUAAAGAGAAUUGACCCUUCUUGAGGGCUGAAAAUCACAAUAUAUUGAAAU
Molecule: long non-coding RNA, 1386 nt
Filed under: Olea europaea subsp. europaea
Lineage: Eukaryota; Viridiplantae; Streptophyta; Magnoliopsida; Lamiales; Oleaceae
Source: RNAcentral